UACGGAGGGUGCAAGCGUUGUUCGGAUUCACUGGGUAUAAAGGGUGCGCAGGCGGCCUGGUAAGUCAGGGGUGAAAUAUGACGGCUCAACCGUCAAACUGCCUCUGAAACUGCCUGGCUUGAGUCCGGGAGAGGUAGGUGGAAUUCCAGGUGUAGCGGUGAAAUGCGUAAAUAUCUGGAGGAACACCGGUGGCGAAGGCGGCCUACUGGCCCGGUACUGACGCUCAGGCACGAAAGCUAGGGGAGCGAACGGG
This 253-nucleotide ribosomal RNA is filed under the name uncultured bacterium. Its description in RNAcentral is "partial 16S ribosomal RNA". It matches the Rfam family "Bacterial small subunit ribosomal RNA", at positions 524 to 776 of the family's 1533-position model. The record is from RNAcentral.